This is a transfer RNA of Ovis aries (sheep), 73 nucleotides long. It matches the Rfam family "tRNA". Rfam says of the family: Transfer RNA (tRNA) molecules are approximately 80 nucleotides in length. Their secondary structure includes four short double-helical elements and three loops (D, anti-codon, and T loops). The record is from Rfam. NCBI's taxonomy places the organism in Eukaryota, Metazoa, Chordata, Mammalia, Artiodactyla, Bovidae.
UCCCUGGUGGUCCAGUGAUUAGAACUCUGUACUUUCACUGCCAAGGGCCCAGGUUCAACCCCUGGUCAGGGAA